This 791-nucleotide long non-coding RNA is filed under the name Cebus imitator (Panamanian white-faced capuchin). Its description in RNAcentral is "lncRNA (ENSCCAG00000038177.1)". The record is from RNAcentral. Lineage: Eukaryota; Metazoa; Chordata; Mammalia; Primates; Cebidae.
AAACCUUGAAUAAACUGCUUUGCAACAGCUACCAUGGCCCCUGGUUCUUUUUCUAAUUCCUUAUCCUUGCCUUUGGGCUUGCUUGUUCCUUUAGGUCUUUACUGCAUCGGUCCAGAGAGAACUUCUGUGCUGCACGCUACAGUUGCAUGCCCUCCUGUUAAGCUGAGCACUCACCAUUGCCCAGCUGGAACUGUUUUAUGUCUUCCCCUGGAUUCACACUUUCUCCUGCAUCAGAGCAUAAGCUGCACAGAGCUCAAUGCAAGAAGCCACAUUUAAGACUGUGCAUCUGAAUGCCUGAAGUAAAAACCACAGUCACAAGGGAUGUGUGUGGAAUGGAAGAAAACUGGAAAAACAAGAAACUGACCUGAAUGGAUGGCCAAAUACUGCAGCUGCACAUGCAGGUGUGUAUCCACGCCAGAUAGACACAGAGCUGGAAGAAGAUGGGGUGUGAUUGGAACUGCUCUGGGUUGGUUUCAGUGAUCUCACGGCAGUCAUCACUACAUAGCCCGUUGGAGCCCACACCAUGGCUUGACACGAGUGUGCACACGCAGUCGAAGCCACCCUUAAUGCUUGCUGUUCUGCGUCCUUUGAUGUCUCUUGCUCAGCAGUCCAGCUAUUACAGGAGUCAGAUAAAGUUAUACGGGAAGAAACAGCAUGAGUUUGAGCUCCUAACUGAAGAGAUGCAGAACUUUUUGAAAACUACAGCACGGAUGAACCUGGAAAACAUUACGCUAAGUGAAAGAAGCCAAAGGCCAUGUAUUGAUUCUGUUUAUAUGAAGUGUCCAGAAUAG